UACGUAGGGACCAAGCGUUGUUCGGAUUUACUGGGCGUAAAGGGCGCGUAGGCGGCAUGACAAGUCACUUGUGAAAUCUCCGGGCUUAACUCGGAACGGUCAAGUGAUACUGUCGCGCUAGAGUGCGGAAGGGGCAAUCAGAAUUCUUGGUGUAGCGGUGAAAUGCGUAGAUAUCAAGAGGAAUACCUGAGGUGAAGACGGGUUGCUAGGCCGACACUGACGCUGAAGCGCGAAAGCCAGGGGAGCAGACGGG
RNAcentral lists this ribosomal RNA (253 nucleotides) under uncultured bacterium. Its description in RNAcentral is "partial 16S ribosomal RNA". It matches the Rfam family "Bacterial small subunit ribosomal RNA", at positions 524 to 776 of the family's 1533-position model. The record is from RNAcentral.